GAUGAACGCUGGCGGCGUGCCUAAUACAUGCAAGUCGAGCGAACAGACGAGGAGCUUGCUCCUCUGACGUUAGCGGCGGACGGGUGAGUAACACGUGGAUAACCUACCUAUAAGACUGGGAUAACUUCGGGAAACCGGAGCUAAUACCGGAUAAUAUAUUGAACCGCAUGGUUCAAUAGUGAAAGACGGUUUUGCUGUCACUUAUAGAUGGAUCCGCGCCGCAUUAGCUAGUUGGUAAGGUAACGGCUUACCAAGGCAACGAUGCGUAGCCGACCUGAGAGGGGGGGCGCCAACACGGGAACGGAGCCAGGGCCCGGCCCACUCAGGGAGGGGGCAGAGGGGAAUCUUCGGCAAUGGGCGAAGGCUUGACGGAGCAGCGCCGCGGGAGUGAGAAGGUUCUUGGGAUCGAAAAAUUUUUUUAUUGGGAAAAAAAAAAGGUGAAAGAAAAUAGGCCCGCUUGGAGGGUACCUAAUAAGAAAGCCCCGGCUAACUACGGC
This 497-nucleotide ribosomal RNA is filed under the name uncultured bacterium. RNAcentral describes it as "partial 16S ribosomal RNA". It matches the Rfam family "Bacterial small subunit ribosomal RNA", at positions 28 to 508 of the family's 1533-position model. The record is from RNAcentral.